CGUGUGCUAGCGGCUGCUGUUUGUGGUGUCACAGAGGAAACCAGAAACAGAGCAGAGCGUUCGUACAGGAAGACGCUGGUGAAUAAAGGAACUCAGAUCAAUUCUUCUUAUUAAAACACUCAUCAUGGAGCUGUGGAGUCGCCUCUGUCUUCUCGUUCUGGCUGCUACGGCAUCCACGAGAGGACAAGACACACUUGACGAGAAAGAAGAAGGUUUGACGAAUAACACGACUUUGACCUCUGAAGCUAAAAGUAGCAACAUCAGCUCCAACAUCUCCAGCACAACCUCCAGUAAUGUGUUUUCUACGACAGCAACGGUUCCACCUGAAGUCCAAACAUCGACCACCAACAAAAACGACACAGCGACCAUCAGCCCAAAGAGCGGGAACGCGAGCUCCAGUAUUACCACAGUGACGGUUACCACGGUAACGGAUGCUACAACUGUAACACCAGUGGGACACUGGGGUUCAACCACUGGUUAUGUGGUGCUGGCGUUGAUCAUCCUGGUGAUAAUCGUGCUCUGUAUCAUCCUCUUCUGUCUGAGGAGAGCUUCCAGGACUUACUCCUUUGACCUCCAGCGACCCGCUCCACCCAACCACGUCCACCUCCCCACCUUUGAACCCAUCGACUUGGAUGAUUUUGAACAAACGACUCCUAAAGCUCUUCAGAUGACUGAGAACCUGCAUCCUCCUCCUCCAUCUUCUUCUUCUGCGAUACCAAACGGAACAAGUCAGCGCUCAGAGGGAGAGGGGUCGAGUGACGAGAGCCACACAAGUUUAGAGGAACAGCUAGCGGCCAACGUUACCGAGGUUUUACCAAACGAGAACGUCCCUCCUACGUCCGAUAACCCGACGGAGCUGCAGCCGGACCAGUGGAGCUGCACCGACCUCUUCUUCGACGCUGACAACGGGGAGAAGAACCAGAAAACACCAUCAGUUUGUUCCAGUGAGCCCUUUGUCGAGGUAAACCUUGAAGAGGACGCAUGGUGACCCUCCCUUUGGCCGUCUGCUGUCUACCCCCCCCCCCAAAAACAAGAUGAAGACAAGCUUUUUUUUCAUUUCAUUUCUCUCAACUCAUCCAGAUUAGUCGUAAACCAAGUUCUAUCAAACAAAGUUCACCUGAACUAGUU
This 1128-nucleotide long non-coding RNA is filed under the name Gouania willdenowi (blunt-snouted clingfish). RNAcentral describes it as "lncRNA (ENSGWIG00000015900.1)". Lineage: Eukaryota; Metazoa; Chordata; Actinopteri; Blenniiformes; Gobiesocidae. The record is from RNAcentral.